GCGUGCCUAAUACAUGCAAGUCGAGCGAACAGACGAGGAGCUUGCUUCUCUGACGUUAGCGGCGGACGGGUGAGUAACACGUGGAUAACCUACCUAUAAGACUGGGAUAACUUCGGGAAACCGGAGCUAAUACCGGAUAAUAUAUUGAACCGCAUGGUUCAAUAGUGAAAGACGGUUUUGCUGUCACUUAUAGAUGGAUCCGCGCCGCAUUAGCUAGUUGGUAAGGUAACGGCUUACCAAGGCAACGAUGCGUAGCCGACCUGAGAGGGUGAUCGGCCACACUGGAACUGAGACACGGUCCAGACUCCUACGGGAGGCAGCAGUAGGGAAUCUUCCGCAAUGGGCGAAAGCCUGACGGAGCAACGCCGCGUGAGUGGUGAAGGUCUUCGGAUCGUAAAACUCUGUUAUUAGGGAAGAACAAAUGUGUAAGUAACUAUGCACGUCUUGACGGUACCUAAUCAGAAAGCCACGGCUAACUACGUGCCAGCAGCCGCGGUAAUACGUAGGUGGCAAGCGUUAUCCGGAAUUAUUGGGCGUAAAGCGCGCGUAGGCGGUUUUUUAAGUCUGAUGUGAAAGCCCACGGCUCAACCGUGGAGGGUCAUUGGAAACUGGAAAACUUGAGUGCAGAAGAGGAAAGUGGAAUUCCAUGUGUAGCGGUGAAAUGCGCAGAGAUAUGGAGGAACACCAGUGGCGAAGGCGACUUUCUGGUCUGUAACUGUCGCUGAUGUGCGAAAGC
Molecule: ribosomal RNA, 736 nt
Filed under: uncultured Staphylococcus sp.
Lineage: Bacteria; Bacillati; Bacillota; Bacilli; Caryophanales; Staphylococcaceae
Description: bacterial SSU rRNA
Rfam family: Bacterial small subunit ribosomal RNA
Source: RNAcentral